Molecule: ribosomal RNA, 351 nt
Filed under: uncultured bacterium
Lineage: Bacteria
Description: bacterial SSU rRNA
Rfam family: Bacterial small subunit ribosomal RNA
Source: RNAcentral
AUUGAACGCUGGCGGCAUGCCUUACACAUGCAAGUCGAACGGCAGCGGACCUUCGGGUGCCGGCGAGUGGCGAACGGGUGAGUAAUAUAUCGGAACGUACCUUUCAGUGGGGGAGUAACGUAGCGAAAGUUAACGCUAAUACCGCAUAUUCUGUGAGCAGGAAAGCAGGGGAGUCGCAAGACCUUGCGCUGAUUGAGCGGCCGAUAUCAGAUUAGCUAGUUGGUGAGGUAAAGGACUCACCAAGGCGACGAUCUGUAGCGGGUCUGAGAGGAUGAUCCGCCACACUGGAACUGAGACACGGUCCAGACUCCUACGGGAGGCAGCAGUGGGGAAUUUUGGUACAAUGGGCGC